UGACGAGCGGCGGACGGGUGAGUAAUGUCUGGGAAACUGCCUGAUGGAGGGGGAUAACUACUGGAAACGGUAGCUAAUACCGCAUAACGUCUUCGGACCAAAGAGGGGGACCUUCGGGCCUCUUGCCAUCAGAUGUGCCCAGAUGGGAUUAGCUAGUAGGUGGGGUAAUGGCUCACCUAGGCGACGAUCCCUAGCUGGUCUGAGAGGAUGACCAGCCACACUGGAACUGAGACACGGUCCAGACUCCUACGGGAGGCAGCAGUGGGGAAUAUUGCACAAUGGGCGCAAGCCUGAUGCAGCCAUGCCGCGUGUAUGAAGAAGGCCUUCGGGUUGUAAAGUACUUUCAGCGAGGAGGAAGGCAUUGUGGUUAAUAACCACAGUGAUUGACGUUACUCGCAGAAGAAGCACCGGCUAACUCCGUGCCAGCAGCCGCGGUAAUACGGAGGGUGCAAGCGUUAAUCGGAAUUACUGGGCGUAAAGCGCACGCAGGCGGUCUGUCAAGUCGGAUGUGAAAUCCCCGGGCUCAACCUGGGAACUGCAUUCGAAACUGGCAGGCUAGAGUCUUGUAGAGGGGGGUAGAAUUCCAGGUGUAGCGGUGAAAUGCGUAGAGAUCUGGAGGAAUACCGGUGGCGAAGGCGGCCCCCUGGACAAAGACUGACGCUCAGG
This 666-nucleotide ribosomal RNA is filed under the name Buttiauxella sp. RNAcentral describes it as "bacterial SSU rRNA". It matches the Rfam family "Bacterial small subunit ribosomal RNA", at positions 89 to 751 of the family's 1533-position model. Lineage: Bacteria; Pseudomonadati; Pseudomonadota; Gammaproteobacteria; Enterobacterales; Enterobacteriaceae. The record is from RNAcentral.